This is a ribosomal RNA of 767 nucleotides. The stretch from base 250 to 403 matches the Rfam family "5.8S ribosomal RNA".
AUUGAAAGCUUUUGGGAGGUACUGUUGCUGGCUUUUAACAAGGCAUGUGCACGUAUUUCUUAAUUUCAUUCAUCCACCUGUGCACCUUUUGUAGAAUGUCUCGUAUUCAAAUCGGCUUUUUGCAAGUCUCUCUAGGGAGUUCUUGCGGAAUAAUGUUUUGGAUUAGAGCUUCUAUGUUCUUACAAACUCAGUUAAGCAUGUUCAGAAUGUCAAUUUAUUGGGACUUGAUUGACCCUUUAAACUUUAUACAACUUUCAGCAACGGAUCUCUUGGCUCUCCCAUCGAUGAAGAACGCAGCGAAAUGCGAUAAGUAAUGUGAAUUGCAGAAUUCAGUGAAUCAUCGAAUCUUUGAACGCACCUUGCGCCCUCUGGUAUUCCGGAGGGCAUGCCUGUUUGAGUGUCAUUAAAUUCUCAACUUCAUUAAUUUUUAUAAUUGAUUGAAGCUUGGAUGUGGGGGUUUGCUGGCGUCUUUCAGAUGUUUUCGGCUCCCCUUAAAUGCAUUAGUAGGAACCCGUUUGUUGGCGUCCAAAGUGUGAUAAUUAUCUACGCUUUUGGUUAGUCUAACAGGCUCGAAUGGAAGUUAUACCAUUUUUUCAGGACACUUCGGUGUUUCUGGUAUGGGUUUUGUGCACUUCGGUGUGCUUUGCCUGGGUAUGGGGUUUUGCGUACUUUGGUGUGCUUUACCUGUGUCUUUUCAUUAGAGUUUAGGAACUCUGCUUUCUAACCGUCUACGUAUUGUGGACAAAUUUUGACAACUUGACCUCAAA